This 2354-nucleotide long non-coding RNA is filed under the name Sus scrofa (pig). RNAcentral describes it as "lncRNA (ENSSSCG00060051275.1)". Lineage: Eukaryota; Metazoa; Chordata; Mammalia; Artiodactyla; Suidae. The record is from RNAcentral.
UACCAUGAGCUGCGGUGGAGGCCACAGAUGUGGCUCAGAUCUGGUGUUGCUGUGGCUGUGAUAGAGGCCAGCAGCUGCAGUUCCCAUUCAACACUUAGCCUGGGAACAUGUUUAUGCGGCAGGUGCAGCCACUAAAUAAAUACAUACAUAGACUAAGUGAGCUACGUGUCAUGUAAAAUACUUAGUAGCCAUAUUUUAAAAAAAUAAAAAGCUGUGGGUAAAAUAUUGACCUAACACUGGAAACCAUCUAUAACGGGAAAAAUCACUUUAUAUAUAUAAAAAUAAAAAUAAAAAGUAAAAAGAAACAGAUGUAAUUAUGUUAAUGCAUCUUACUUAAUUCAACAGGAAAUCAGUAUAAAGUUUGCUGGGAUAGUUUACAUUUUUUUCUGCCAAGCCUUUGUAAUCAGUCACUUUUACAUUUAUGGCCCUUGAUUCAGACACAAAUUUUUCAGCAGAAAUUCUUUUUUAAAAAAAAUUUUUAUUCCACUGUAUUUGUUUUACAAUGUUGUGUGACCUUCUUGAUAUCUACUUAGAUUUUGUGAAUUUUACAGUUGGAAAAGUAGAUUCAUGUCCUCAAGCUGUUCCAAAUAUACUUAAACAUUGCCCAAUAACUGAAUCAAUGAACAGUUUUCAGUAAGUGCAUCCUAAGUGCUCAAUGGUCAUGGGUGGCCUGUGGCUACUGCACUGGACCGAGCAGUUCCACAACUUGAUCUAGGGGGUGGGUACAUGGAGAGUUCACUGCAAAACUUCACCCUGUGCUUAGGUAACUUGUGCCCUUUCCUAUACGUAUAUGGAAUUAUUCAAACUAAAAAAGAAUUUAUUGCUUUGGGAGUAAGCCUGGGAGUGAGAAACAUGGGAUCAGGAGAUAAUUUCUUUUUAUUUUAAGAGCUUUUUCACUAUUUUCUUUGCUAUAUAUACAUAUAACUUGUUCAAUAUACUCUUAAUUGUAUUAAAAAAAAAAAAAAAAAAACCUUUUCAACUUUCGCUGUCUUCCUGGUAAUGAGAUGACGUCGAUCCACUAAUUGACGUGGACGCAGAGCCAUACCUCUGCCUCGGGCCAAGUUCACCCCAGAGGCUGGGCUGGAAACAUAGUUGUAAUUCCGAGGUGUCUUGAUGCCGUAUAUUAGUCCACUUGGAUAUAAGGCUUUUUCGAAAACAAUAGCUACAGUGUUUGGUUUUGCUCUUUUUGUUUGUUUGGCGUUUUCCUUCAGAGUAAAUGAAUUUAAAUUCACAACAGCCCUAUGAAGCAGUUGUGAGCACAGCCCCUGGGGCCCACAUGAAAGACGGAGGCACAGGAAGUUUACCUGAUUGGCACAUCUGAGAAGUGGCCGUGUGCAGACUUGAAUUCAAAGCUCUGAACACAGGGAUGCUUAGCCUGUCGAACACUGGCUGGAUCCCUUUGUAGAACCGUGGUACUGUGUCAGCACAUAGCUUAAAACAGUCAUCGAUGUAUGCAUGUCCAGCCGGUCUCUGUAUUUCAGUAUAGUGAAAACGGAAGGAAACUACCUAAGAAUAAAACCAUUCUGUCUCCUUGCUGUGCUCGGCGCAUGGCCACCCAAACGUCAGCUGUCUGGUGUCUGCUCCUGAGUUCCCUCUCACCGCCAGCUCUGCUCCACCCCAGAUGCUGAGCAAUUGGUGUGGUCCCCGCGUGCUGAGCACGGCAGCUGCAAAGGUCUGCCAACGCCCUGACCUGCCAUCCGACACCCGCCUGCUCACGCGUGUCCUUGGCUGGUCUUUGCACCUGCCGCCUCUGCGCCAUCACUGGCUUCACUCUCGCCUGGAAUCCCCUUCAGUGACUUUUGGAUUUUCUGCUUGAGAAGGUGGCUGAUCGUUUUGUUAUUGAGCAAAAAUUGCAUUAGCUCUGUGUAUAUUCUCAGAAUAGAAAUAUGGAAAACUCAAUACUCUGCCUUCUAAUAGAAAAUCCCAAUUCCCUCUGACCUUCUGUGCUCUCAGUGAUGCAUAAAGCCUGGGAUUUCCGACGCAUUUGUUCUCCUGUGCUUCCCCAAGAGUCACCAGAUCCACAGGCUGAAAGAUAGGACCCUUUGAUUCAAAGUGACCGUGAUAAGUAAUAAACAAAACUCAAGACUCAGAGAGUUUUCCUCAGCAAUUGGAAACCGAAUUAGCUCAAUAUGUUUCUAAUGCAGGCUUGUCUCAUUAGUUCAGGCAAAGAGGAAUUUUCAGUUGUGUGGAUGAUAAGAAAGCACGUGAUCUAAGACAGGUUUGUCAUAGCUCAGGGGCCUGCAAUGCCUUUCUUAUGGGACGUCUAUAAAGAGUAAGUUUCAAAAACUGUAAUUGUAAUGUAUACAUGUAAGGAUAACCUGACCCCCUUGCUGUACAGUGGGAAAAUAAAAAAA